CCCUCCCAUUAUUUCCCUAAAAUUUCAAAACCUGGCCGCACACUUAAAUUUUCGGUAAAAAAAAAAAGAAAACUAAAUUAAAACACAAAGGCAAACCACGCAAACACGCAAAUCACCAAUUUUCUAGGAGAGAGACUGACAGAAAAUAGGAUCGAUUUUUAGGGUUUCAUCAAAAAUUUGGGGCAAAUUCUAGCGAUUUUGUCUGGAAUUCGCAAUUAGGCUCCAGAUUAAUCGAAUUUCUUGGCUGCGACAUUCUCUCACGUUGCUUGCUUGCUAUUCAUCGAGCAGGAGGAUUGAAUUGGGGUUUCGCAUAAUAAUUCGAACAAGUUAAGAGGAGCUAUACUAAGUCAUCGGGUUGUCCAAAAAGCCUAAGUUAUGAUGAAAACUAGAGACCAUUUUCUGUCCCCUUUUUUCAGAUACCUGCAUUGUUGUUCUGCAGAUACUCAACCAAAUUGUGGUGUUGUGGGAUCUUUUACGGUGAUGACGUGUCAUGCGUUCCUCGGAGGUAUCAAGUAUGAGCUGGCACGAACCUCUGGCAACCUGCAAAACAAGAAUAUUCCCGUAGGAAUAUUCCCUCCGAUGCUUAAGUCUACAAAGAAUCAAGGAAAAGAGUUCCAGGGAGAACAUACCUUACCAACCCUGAGAAAAUCGAAGAGAAUAUUGAAAAAAUAGAUGCUUUAGAGUCCACCCAAGACGGAGAAGGAGGGAGCAAUUCUGAAGACCUUAUCUCUGAAGUGAUACAAGGUCCCAAAAGAAAAAGAAAAAGCCGCGUACCACUUUACGGAAAAGGUGUGACAAAGAGUGACUUGAAGAAAAUGGGAAAAAAAAUCAGGAUUCUUGAUUCCGUAAGAGUUCUUGCAGAGUAUGAAAACAGAGUUGGUGCAUCAACUUGCACCCCACGUUGUGUCUAUGAUUGUAUCUCAACUUCAAGAAGCUAAUCCCUAGAUAAAUAUAGUUAUUCCUGAUUUUGUGACUCCAUCGACUCCAAAGGAUGCUCCCAGUGCGCCGCGUGUCAGUGAGCAAAAUGGGCAGUCUGGUGGGACAAGUAGGACAAUUAAACCAGGAGCAUGGUGAGCUAAAUGGAGAACAAAUGUAGAUCUAACAAUGAGACGGUCGAGGCUCUUGUUUGGUUUAGGCCAUUUUGGGAUUUCUAGUAACGUUGAAUUUGUUUCUAUGGAUUUUAAUUUAUGUACUUUUGUCAUUAAAAACACUAAAUUAAUUAGUGAACAACUAUUUUGUAAUGCAUGUGUCCUAUAUGUGCACUAAUAUAUAUUGUAAUGUUACUCUUUAAGUCAAUGAAAAUCUUUUGUUAUUGGCCUCCA
This is a long non-coding RNA of Spinacia oleracea (spinach), 1322 nucleotides long. RefSeq lists it as uncharacterized. The transcript is spliced from 6 exons. The record is from RefSeq and is a predicted model, not a curated record. NCBI's taxonomy places the organism in Eukaryota, Viridiplantae, Streptophyta, Magnoliopsida, Caryophyllales, Amaranthaceae.